This 873-nucleotide ribosomal RNA is filed under the name gut metagenome. RNAcentral's name for it is "bacterial SSU rRNA". It matches the Rfam family "Bacterial small subunit ribosomal RNA", at positions 9 to 873 of the family's 1533-position model. The record is from RNAcentral.
AGAGUUUGAUCCUGGCUCAGGAUGAACGCUAGCUACAGGCUUAACACAUGCAAGUCGAGGGGCAGCAUGAUUGAAGCUUGCUUCAAUUGAUGGCGACCGGCGCACGGGUGAGUAACACGUAUCCAACCUGCCGAUAACUCGGGGAUAGCCUUUCGAAAGAAAGAUUAAUACCCGAUAGUAUAGUAUUUCCGCAUGGUUUCACUAUUAAAGAAUUUCGGUUAUCGAUGGGGAUGCGUUCCAUUAGAUAGUUGGCGGGGUAACGGCCCACCAAGUCAACGAUGGAUAGGGGUUCUGAGAGGAAGGUCCCCCACAUUGGAACUGAGACACGGUCCAAACUCCUACGGGAGGCAGCAGUGAGGAAUAUUGGUCAAUGGACGAGAGUCUGAACCAGCCAAGUAGCGUGAAGGAUGACUGCCCUAUGGGUUGUAAACUUCUUUUAUACGGGAAUAAAGUGGAGUAUGCAUACUCCUUUGUAUGUACCGUAUGAAUAAGGAUCGGCUAACUCCGUGCCAGCAGCCGCGGUAAUACGGAGGAUCCGAGCGUUAUCCGGAUUUAUUGGGUUUAAAGGGAGCGUAGGCGGGUGCUUAAGUCAGUUGUGAAAGUUUGCGGCUCAACCGUAAAAUUGCAGUUGAUACUGGGCGCCUUGAGUGCAGCAUAGGUAGGCGGAAUUCGUGGUGUAGCGGUGAAAUGCUUAGAUAUCACGAAGAACUCCGAUUGCGAAGGCAGCUUACUGGACUGUAACUGACGCUGAUGCUCGAAAGUGUGGGUAUCAAACAGGAUUAGAUACCCUGGUAGUCCACACAGUAAACGAUGAAUACUCGCUGUUGGCGAUACACAGUCAGCGGCCAAGCGAAAGCAUUAAGUAUUCCACCU